Molecule: ribosomal RNA, 253 nt
Filed under: uncultured bacterium
Lineage: Bacteria
Description: partial 16S ribosomal RNA
Rfam family: Bacterial small subunit ribosomal RNA
Source: RNAcentral
UACGGGGGGAGCAAGCGUUGUUCGGAUUUACUGGGCGUAAAGGGCGCGUAGGCGGCGCAACAAGUCACUUGUGAAAUCUCCGGGCUUAACCCGGAGCGGCCAAGUGAUACUGUCGUGCUAGAGUGCGGAAGGGGCUACUGGAAUUCUCGGUGUAGCGGUGAAAUGCGUAGAUAUCGAGAGGAACACCUGCGGCGAAGGCGGCGUUCUGGACUGCAACUGACACUGAGAAACGAAAGCCAGGGUAGCAAACGGG